This is a long non-coding RNA of Dunckerocampus dactyliophorus (ringed pipefish), 366 nucleotides long. RefSeq lists it as uncharacterized. NCBI's taxonomy places the organism in Eukaryota, Metazoa, Chordata, Actinopteri, Syngnathiformes, Syngnathidae. The record is from RefSeq and is a predicted model, not a curated record. The transcript is spliced from 3 exons.
AGCGUGUUUGCAAAAUUCUUGGUGGGAAUCUGGCCUCCAUCCACAACUACCUGGAAAAUGUGGCUGUUGCAGGACUGAUUAAAGACGGAGGCGCCGACUUUGCCUGGAUUGGCCUCCAUGAUGCGAUUGAGAAAGGACACUAUUUUUGGACUGACGGCAAAGACUUUGAUUUCGAUAACUUUGCCCUCGGCAAGCCUGACGGCACCGGUGCCUGUGUUGAGCUUUAUGCACCUGAUCAAACAUUUUUCGAUGAGGACUGCACCGUAUACCACCCCUAUGUUUGCGCCAGAGAUACCUACUACUGUGGCAGCCACUAGUCAGACCUCUUAGCGUCAUCUUCUACAACAACAUCUUUCACUAAAUCAC